This 401-nucleotide long non-coding RNA is filed under the name Homo sapiens (human). Its description in RNAcentral is "non-protein coding lnc-FAM49B-5:1". Lineage: Eukaryota; Metazoa; Chordata; Mammalia; Primates; Hominidae. The record is from RNAcentral.
UUAGACCCAGACCAGUGCCAAAGGCUCAAUGGCAGAAUAGAAUCAAAGAUGGGAGAAUUGUCUCUAGUUUUUGUUUAAUCUGUAGUUUUUCUUUCCUAGGAUUCUCAGAGCCGGCAAGGAGGAUACAGCAUGCAUCAGCUCCAGGGCAAUAAGGAAUAUGGCAGUGAAAAGAAGGGGUACCUGCUAAAGAAAAGUGACGGGAUCCGGAAAGUAUGGCAGAGGAGGAAGUGUUCAGUCAAGAAUGGGAUUCUGACCAUCUCACAUGCCACAGUAAGUAUGUUUCUUAAUUUACCCUGCCUCAUGGGCCAGAAAGCAAACACGAUUAUGUACUCAGCAGUAAAAAUUGGCGCAAAUAUAUUUAUGCAUUUGGGUCAGAUCAUUUUAGAUAUUCCUUUACCAAA